UGGCGGCACUAGCGCGGUGGUCCCACCUGACCCCAUGCCGAACUCAGAAGUGAAACGCCGUAGCGCCGAUGGUAGUGUGGGGUCUCCCCAUGCGAGAGUAGGGAACUGCCAGACAUCAAAUAAAACAAAAG
Molecule: ribosomal RNA, 131 nt
Filed under: Salmonella enterica subsp. enterica serovar Enteritidis
Lineage: Bacteria; Pseudomonadati; Pseudomonadota; Gammaproteobacteria; Enterobacterales; Enterobacteriaceae
Source: RNAcentral